GGUGGCUCAGUGGUAGAGUGCUUGCCUCGCAUGCAUGAGGCCUGGGUUCAAUUCCUCAGUACCA
Molecule: transfer RNA, 64 nt
Filed under: Dipodomys ordii (Ord's kangaroo rat)
Lineage: Eukaryota; Metazoa; Chordata; Mammalia; Rodentia; Heteromyidae
Rfam family: tRNA
About the family: Transfer RNA (tRNA) molecules are approximately 80 nucleotides in length. Their secondary structure includes four short double-helical elements and three loops (D, anti-codon, and T loops). Further hydrogen bonds mediate the characteristic L-shaped molecular structure. tRNAs have two regions of fundamental functional importance: the anti-codon, which is responsible for specific mRNA codon recognition, and the 3' end, to which the tRNAs corresponding amino acid is attached (by aminoacyl-tRNA synthetases). tRNAs cope with the degeneracy of the genetic code in two manners: having more than one tRNA (with a specific anti-codon) for a particular amino acid; and 'wobble' base-pairing, i.e. permitting non-standard base-pairing at the 3rd anti-codon position.
Source: Rfam by way of RNAcentral